This 269-nucleotide ribosomal RNA is filed under the name uncultured bacterium. RNAcentral describes it as "partial 16S ribosomal RNA". It matches the Rfam family "Bacterial small subunit ribosomal RNA", at positions 933 to 1215 of the family's 1533-position model. The record is from RNAcentral.
UGGAGCGUGUGGUUUAAUUCGAUGCUACACGAAGAACCUUACCAGGGUUUGACAUGCAAGUGGUAGGAAGCCGAAAGGUGACCGACCCUUCGGGGAGCUUGCACAGGUGCUGCAUGGCUGUCGUCAGCUCGUGUCGUGAGAUGUUCGGUUAAGUCCGCUAACGAGCGCAACCCUCACUGUGUGUUAUAUGUGUCACACGGGACCGCCGGUCUUAAGCCGGAGGAAGGUGGGGAUGACGUCAAGUCAGCAUGGCCUUUAUAUCUUGGGCA